Long non-coding RNA from Xenopus laevis (African clawed frog), 686 nucleotides. RefSeq lists it as uncharacterized. The transcript has 2 exons. NCBI's taxonomy places the organism in Eukaryota, Metazoa, Chordata, Amphibia, Anura, Pipidae. The record is from RefSeq and is a predicted model, not a curated record.
AGACAGCAAAAGGUAAGUGCUUUUUUCAUUCAUUGCACAUUCGCUAUUGUGGACCUAAAGUCGUCUUCAUUGACCGCUGCUAUUAUGUUGCCUUUUAAUUCCGUAUCUGUGUGAUGUUUAUCUGCACAUAUGUAUUGCAAUAGAGGUUUGGUUAUUUUUUGCACUGAUUAUUGCUUCUUGAAUGAACACUUGCUUUGGUUUAAGUUACCCUUUCAGCCCUUAUCUGAUUGACGUGUAUGAACAUAUGAACAUAUAUGUCCUUCAGUAGACUUUGGGAGAGUUUUUUUUUCACUCAUCUGUGCCUUUUUAAUGAUGGUUUAUGUGGCGUUCAUUUACCCUUUAAUUGCUUUUCUGUGUGAAGUAUAUUUGAACGUAUGUAUUAACCGAUUAUUGCAUCUUAAACGGUCCCUUGUUUCAGGUGCCCUUUAUUUGUUUGCUUACAUCCAUGAGGGUCCAUUGAAUGAUUACUUGUAUUGGCUUAAGUUACCCUUGAACUCUUAAUCUGUGUUUGGCCUCUUUGAUGAUCUCUUUUAUUACGUUGCCCUUUAAUUCCUUAUCUGUGUGAAGUACCUGUGCACAUAUGUGUCGCGAUAGAUGUUUUUGUUUGCACUGAUUCGUUCGUUGAAUACGUACCUGCAUUGGUUUAAGUCAUCCUUUAAUUCCGGAUGGGCUUGAAGCUCCUUUUU